UAUACGACUCUUAACGGUGGAUAUCUCGGUUCUCGCAUCGAUGAAGAA
RNAcentral lists this ribosomal RNA (48 nucleotides) under Porphyra purpurea. RNAcentral's name for it is "partial 5.8S ribosomal RNA". The record is from RNAcentral. Lineage: Eukaryota; Rhodophyta; Bangiophyceae; Bangiales; Bangiaceae.